GUCUAUAAUCUAUAAUAAUUAUUAAUUAUAAUUUAAUAAUCUUAUAACAGACACAAGUCUGUUAUGGUUUGCUACUACAUACCAAAAGGGGGCGCUAGUAUACUCAAGUAUGAGGUAUAAAUCAAGGUACGUAGUAGAAGAAGACUUGGAGCAUGGCUUACCUGCUGCAUCGUCUCAAGUCAAGAUGUCCUGAUUGAGAAACUUUUGGUUUCCUGCUCAAUCGAAAAGGACUCCUUGAACAUUGUAUGUGAAAUUAUGGUGUAAUUCAUUGGAAGCAGAGAUCAAGUGGAUUUCUGUUCUAUCCUGAACUUUGUUGGCAUCGCUUGUGGAUCCUGUGGGAUUUUGCACACAAGGAUUAAGAUCAACUUCUUUCUAUGUGAUUUUCUUGAUGGAUUUUUGGGAGAUUAUUUUUCUUCUGGGAUUUUUCUACAUGCACGGAUUUUUUUGCUUUACCUCAAACUACAAGGAACAAUUUCAUCAACGGACAAUCUUUAACAAAUUGUCUUGCAGUCAUCAGUCUCCCAAUAUAACUCCUUAUCUGAAUUAAUUUGUUUGUUUGUUCAGUUGUUGGUUUUUGGUGCUAUACUUUCAUAUGGUAUAUAAACUAUUCAUGACGCUUAA
Long non-coding RNA from Megalobrama amblycephala (Wuchang bream), 621 nucleotides. RefSeq lists it as uncharacterized. NCBI's taxonomy places the organism in Eukaryota, Metazoa, Chordata, Actinopteri, Cypriniformes, Xenocyprididae. The transcript has 2 exons. The record is from RefSeq and is a predicted model, not a curated record.